This 452-nucleotide ribosomal RNA is filed under the name uncultured Pseudomonadota bacterium. RNAcentral describes it as "bacterial SSU rRNA". It matches the Rfam family "Bacterial small subunit ribosomal RNA", at positions 97 to 543 of the family's 1533-position model. Lineage: Bacteria; Pseudomonadati; Pseudomonadota. The record is from RNAcentral.
GGCGAACGGGUGCGUAAUGCAUGGGAAUCUGCCUAGUAGUGGGGAAUAACCCGGCGAAAGCCGGGCUAAUGCCGCAUACGACCUACGGGUGAAAGCGGGGGAUCGCAAGACCUCGCGCUAUUAGAUGAGCCCAUGUCGGAUUAGCUAGUUGGUAGGGUAACGGCCUACCAAGGCGACGAUCCGUAGCUGGUCUGAGAGGACGGCCAGCCACACUGGGACUGAGACACGGCCCAGACUCCUACGGGAGGCAGCAGUGGGGAAUUUUGGACAAUGGGGGCAACCCUGAUCCAGCGACGCCGCGUGUGUGAAGAAGGCCUGCGGGUUGUAAAGCACUUUCGUUGGGAACGAAAUAUGCCGACCUAAUACGUCGGUAGGCUGACGUUACCCAAAUAAGAAGCACCGGCUAACUCUGUGCCAGCAGCCGCGGUAAUACAGAGGGUGCGAGCGUUAAU